AUAGUUGCAGAUAGAAAUAUGCUGUAUACCUAUGCGACCGAAUUAACGUUUAAGCGGCAUUUAAUGUCGUCGGUCAUAGGGCCGCCGCAAGGCGGUUUUUUUUU
RNAcentral lists this small RNA (104 nucleotides) under uncultured Blautia sp. RNAcentral's name for it is "DUF3800-I RNA". It matches the Rfam family "DUF3800-I RNA". From Rfam's summary of the family: Actinobacteria, Firmicutes, Fusobacteria, Proteobacteria (1 example), Tenericutes (2 examples). Terminator (Clostridia) Lineage: Bacteria; Bacillati; Bacillota; Clostridia; Lachnospirales; Lachnospiraceae. The record is from RNAcentral.